AUAUUUUGAUCAUAAUAAUAGAAAAAUUAUUUGUUUGUUUGUGUAUCAAAUAUUUAAACUGGAAAAUUAAGUUCCUAAAUGCCCAAGUCAGCCUCAUUCUGAUUUUUCAGCUGUAUCCAGAAAUGCUGGAAAAAGGAUUUGACCAGAAUUUGCAGUUCACAGAACUCUUCAUCUCGGCGUAUAAAGGAAGUGUAAUAAAACGGAUUUGUUCAGUUCCAAGCACAUUGGUCAAAUGCAUGUUGAUGAAGAUUUUGCAUUUUCAAACAUUCCUUUGAGUUUUCUGGUUCUUAACCCAUCUUCUUAAAGUACUGCAGGUGAAAUUAAUCUAAUUGUUGUUCCCUGUUGUGUGGUUUGACAGCUCUUGAUAACCAAAGGUUUUUAUUAGUUCAGAGCCAUAUCCUUGAUGGAGAAUCCCAGGAGACCACCUCAGCAAACUCUGGAAGUUGUAGGAAUGAACCUCCACAUUUUUCGGUGCUGGCAAAUGGGGAGAAGUUUCUAAAGGAAGAAGAGGAAUAAAAGCAAUUAUUGAAACAUUCAAGUGCACGGUAACCAAAUUUUGCUCUCCAAAUGCCAUCACCAUAUAUUAAAUUUUCACUGCUUUGCAGGAAAAACUGAAAUACCAGGAAAUCCUUAACAGAGAGAGACAGAGGCUGUGGCUGUUUCUUCAGUGAUGUUGAACCAUCCCAGCACCACAGUUAAGUGCAAAAUUCCUGUCAUUGGUGGUUAGACCUCAAUAAAAGCAACAACACAUGGUGUGCUUAGUGUCAGAGAACUAAAGAAACUUGGG
Vidua macroura (Pin-tailed whydah) is the source of this 787-nucleotide long non-coding RNA. RefSeq lists it as uncharacterized. The record is from RefSeq and is a predicted model, not a curated record. NCBI's taxonomy places the organism in Eukaryota, Metazoa, Chordata, Aves, Passeriformes, Viduidae. The transcript is spliced from 5 exons.